GGUCGACGAUUCCUACGGGAGGCAGCAGUAGGGAAUCUUGCGCAAUGGGCGAAAGCCUGACGCAGCCAUGCCGCGUGAAUGAUGAAGGUCUUAGGAUUGUAAAAUUCUUUCACCGGGGACGAUAAUGACGGUACCCGGAGAAGAAGCCCCGGCUAACUUCGUGCCAGCAGCCGCGGUAAUAAUCUCU
RNAcentral lists this ribosomal RNA (187 nucleotides) under uncultured bacterium. RNAcentral describes it as "partial 16S ribosomal RNA". It matches the Rfam family "Bacterial small subunit ribosomal RNA", at positions 327 to 527 of the family's 1533-position model. The record is from RNAcentral.